RNAcentral lists this ribosomal RNA (460 nucleotides) under uncultured bacterium. RNAcentral describes it as "partial 16S ribosomal RNA". It matches the Rfam family "Bacterial small subunit ribosomal RNA", at positions 338 to 795 of the family's 1533-position model. The record is from RNAcentral.
CCUACGGGGGGCAGCAGUGAGGAAUAUUGGUCAAUGGCCGCAAGGCUGAACCAGCCAAGUCGCGUGAGGGAGGACUGCGCUGUGCGUUGUAGACCUCUUUUGUCUGGGGACAAAAUGCCGUACUUGUACGGCUUUGCGUGUACCUGGUGAAAAAGCAUCGGCUAACUCCGUGCCAGCAGCCGCGGUAAUACGGAGGAUGCGAGCGUUAUCCGGAUUUAUUGGGUUUAAAGGGUGCGUAGGCGGGUCUUUAAGUCAGGGGUGAAAGUGGGCGGCUCAACCGCAGCAGAGCAGUCGAAACUGGGGGCCUUGAGUGCAGUAGAGGCAGGCGGAAUGCGCGGUGUAGCGGUGAAAUGCAUAGAUAUCGCGAAGAACCCCGAUUGCGAAGGCAGCGUGCUGUACCGCCACUGACGCUGAGGCACGAAAGCGCGGGUAUCGAACAGGAUUAGAUACCCUUGUAGUC